GCUUGUCUCAAAGAUUAAGCCAUGCAUGUCUUAGUGUAAAUAACUCUUAUGAAACUGCGAAUGGCUCAUUAAAUCAGUUAUCGUUUAUUUGAUGGUCCCUUACUACAUGGAUAACCGUAGUAAUUCUAGAGCUAAUACAUGCACAAAGGCCCGACUCACGAAGGGCUGUAUUUAUUAGAUCAAAACCAAACGGCUUCGGCCGUCUCAUUGGUGACUCUGAAUAACUUUGGGCUGAUCGUAUGGCCUUGUGCCGACGACGUUUCCUUCGAAGGUGUGCCCUAUCAACUGUCGACUGUGAUAUAGACGCUCACAGUGGUUUUGACGGGUAACGGGGAAUCAGGGUUCGAUUCCGGAGAGGGAGCCUUAAAAACGGCUACCACAUCCAAGGAAGGCAGCAGG
RNAcentral lists this ribosomal RNA (399 nucleotides) under Hemidiaptomus roubaui. RNAcentral describes it as "partial small subunit ribosomal RNA". It matches the Rfam family "Eukaryotic small subunit ribosomal RNA", at positions 30 to 432 of the family's 1831-position model. Lineage: Eukaryota; Metazoa; Arthropoda; Copepoda; Calanoida; Diaptomidae. The record is from RNAcentral.